Molecule: unclassified non-coding RNA, 169 nt
Filed under: rhizosphere metagenome
Description: partial ribosomal RNA internal transcribed spacer region
Source: RNAcentral
GUAGGGCUUCGGCCCUGUCGAGAUAGAACCCUUGCCUUUUUGAGUACCUUUCGCUUCCUCGGCAGGCUCGCCUGCCAAUGGGGACCCCAAAAAACACUUUGCAGUACCUGUAAUUGUCUGAACAAAACAAACAAAAAUUAAAACUUUCAACAACGGAUCUCUUGGUUCU